AUGACUUCUCAGCUGUGAGGUAAGAUCAUAGGUACUAUUUGUUCUUAUCUGUUUUAUAUCUGACAUAUCCUCUGAGGGCAAUAUAUUAACUGGGUUUUUGGAGUGGGAAGAUAGAGUAGGAGCAUGUUCAGCUUGCUCUGGGGAUGUACCUGAUAUUGCAGUAAUGCCAGGAAAGGUGCACCCCCU
Molecule: non-coding RNA, 186 nt
Organism: Erinaceus europaeus (western European hedgehog)
Lineage: Eukaryota; Metazoa; Chordata; Mammalia; Eulipotyphla; Erinaceidae
Source: Rfam